Molecule: long non-coding RNA, 1629 nt
Organism: Gallus gallus (chicken)
Lineage: Eukaryota; Metazoa; Chordata; Aves; Galliformes; Phasianidae
Source: Ensembl
AUCUCUACUUAGUGAUUGCCUUCUUUGGAGUGUUUGGACAGUUACUGAAUGGCAACAUUUGUUUCCCUAUUGAUCUGUGUUUAUUUCUGCAUGAAACAUGAAGAAUAUUCUGGAUCCUAUUUUUUCUUCAAACACUCUACAUAAUUUACUAUAGCUUUUAAAGACUUCCAAGUUCUUUGAUUUACAAAAUUGUGGCUUGGAUGUCAUUGGAAGUAUAUCAAGGAAGCUCUGAGAAUAAAAGCACUCUAGAAUGCUAGCUCAUAUUUUAAUUUGGACAGGAAUUGUUAUUUAUACCAAAUCUAAUUUGGAAAAGACAACUAAAAGAGAAUAUAUACAGUCUUACAACCAUCUAUCUACAAGAUAGACGAUCUCUUCAAAAUGCACUUGCGUACCACAAAGCAGAGUGAGAAAAGCCAUCUCAGUCUUUACUUUUUUAACAGCAUCCAUAACAAAAAUCCAGGAAAAAUGUUUCCAUAUCGCAUGACUUGUGGUUUACUGCCUAAACAUUUGCAUCUGAAAUACUUGGCUGAGGCUGCUGCUGGCUCCAACACAGCAGCUGUAACCAAGGAUUAGAAACAGGCUAGACAGCCCACAGUGCUGUGGUAGAGGAGAGCAGCUUUCACCACUCUGGCAAGCCUCAACAGAGCUUGAGGCACGCUCCUGCAGGCACACUCAGGCUCUCCCCUGGCAGCACUGACCUUUAUCUGCAGGAAACCUGUGCCUGGACACUGGCCAGGAGGUUCUUCAUUUCAACAGAAAUGGAAACCUUUCAAAAUAGAAAGUGCCACUCCUGUGUUUGUGCUUACACACCUUAUUUCUUUGGACUUAAGAUUUAGACCAACCUUGUGGGAUCCGUUUAUACUCGCUAAAAACUCGCUAUAAAGAAGAUCCAAUAAUUUAUUAAACACAAAACUGAGCUGAACAAAUAAGUAUCCAGUAAACCCAAACUCCUCCUGUUACAAGUUUUCUACAAACAGAUUACAAACCUGACACCCUCUCUACCUGAAAUCAAUUUCCAAGUAAUUUGUAUGAAUAAUACUAUUUAUUUAUUUUUUACUGUGUGCACACAUGCAUGUAUAUAUACCUAGCUUGUUAUUACUUAGUUAUAUUUGGGAGUAUAACAUAAGAGCUCAGAAGUUCUGACUGAGUCUGUGCAUCAGAAUACAGCUUCACGUCUGGAGGAAAAUUCAGCUUCUGUGGGGAUUUAUGUGAAUGAUCAAUUAAAGACCUUUCAGAAAGCAACAGUGAACGUUGCUGUCAGUAUCUAGUUAGAGAUUUUAUGGGAUGUUUUGCUACAUAGCACGGUCUUAUUUCAAGUGAAUUUAAAAAAGUCACAAUGAAUAUUUUCCUGGUUCCUCUAGUACAGAUCUUGCAUACUGUCUGCCAGCAAUGGGAACAAAUUGUAAAUCUUUCUGAAGUGAAUCUUGAGCAUCAUGAGUUGUAUCCCCUUAUAGCUAAUGAAUUGAGUUUAGGUAAUGCUAAGCAAAAUUCUUUGUUUUCUAAUGCCUUUUUCACCUGUGAUGGCACGUGGAUGGUGUUUUCAUGUUUUUCUCUGGGGUCUUGAGGACCAGAAUUCUGUGAUGAGUGCUGAGAUUUCUAUGUAAUUGUAUAAUUCCAGAAGUGCAGUUU